GAUGAACGCUGGCGGCGUGCUUAACACAUGCAAGUCGAACGGAAAGGCUCCUGCUUGCAGGGGUACUCGAGUGGCGAACGGGUGAGUAACACGUGGGUGAUCUGCCCUGCACUUCGGGAUAAGCCUGGGAAACUGGGUCUAAUACCGGAUAGGACGAUGGUUUGGAUGCCAUUGUGGAAAGUUUUUUCGGUGUGGGAUGAGCUCGCGGCCUAUCAGCUUGUUGGUGGGGUAAUGGCCUACCAAGGCGUCGACGGGUAGCCGGCCUGAGAGGGUGUACGGCCACAUUGGGACUGAGAUACGGCCCAGCCUCCUACGGGAGGCAGCAGUGGGGAAUAUUGCACAAUGGGCGCAAGCCUGAUGCAGCGACGCCGCGUGGGGGAUGACGGCCUUCGGGUUGUAAACUCCUUUCGCUAGGGACGAAGCGCAAGUGACGGUACCUGGAGAAGAAGCACCGGCUAACUACGUG
This 466-nucleotide ribosomal RNA is filed under the name uncultured bacterium. Its description in RNAcentral is "partial 16S ribosomal RNA". It matches the Rfam family "Bacterial small subunit ribosomal RNA", at positions 28 to 507 of the family's 1533-position model. The record is from RNAcentral.